UACGGGGGGGGCAAGCGUUGUUCGGAAUUACUGGGCGUAAAGGGCUCGUAGGCGGCCAACUAAGUCAGACGUGAAAUCCCUCGGCUUAACCGGGGAACUGCGUCUGAUACUGGAUGGCUUGAGAUUGGGAGAGGGAUGCGGAAUUCCAGGUGUAGCGGUGAAAUGCGUAGAUAUCGGAAGGAACACCAGUGGCGAAAGCGGCUUCCUGGUCCAGCACCGACGUUCAGGCACGAAAGCGUGGGGAGCAAACAGG
Molecule: ribosomal RNA, 253 nt
Filed under: uncultured bacterium
Lineage: Bacteria
Description: partial 16S ribosomal RNA
Rfam family: Bacterial small subunit ribosomal RNA
Source: RNAcentral